GUUCGAUGUGCGCAGUGUUGAUGAAGUGUCAGGCUAGGUUGAAGAAGAUGGCGAGUAAGGGGGAGCCUGUUGAGUACCGGUGCCUGGUCUGCGCCACCGAUGGCAAGAGGAACAUCUCCACCUCGGUGAAGUGCAAAUCCAAGUUCGAAGCUGUGAAGCAUAUCAACAAAGACUAGCAUAUUAUGUGUUGUAAAUGUAGGCAGUAGUAGGCUUAUCUGGGCUGUAGUAUACUGUAAUGUUUGUAAUAGACUAAUGCCGUGUUGUUUUGGACGAAUUUCAUUUGCUAUUUGGAUUGUUUGAAAUAAUGAUUGUGUAUUGAAUACCUGUCAAAUGGAAACCUGACAAGGGGGUCCAAGUUAUAAUAGUUGUUUGACAGAUUUUGAAAUUUU
Non-coding RNA from Triticum urartu, 389 nucleotides. The record is from RefSeq and is a predicted model, not a curated record. NCBI's taxonomy places the organism in Eukaryota, Viridiplantae, Streptophyta, Magnoliopsida, Poales, Poaceae.